GGAGAGUUGUCCGAGCUGGCCGAAGGAGCAGCAUUGGAAAUGCUGUAUACGGGUUAAAGCCUGUAUCAAGGGUUCGAAUCCCUUACUCUCCG
Molecule: transfer RNA, 92 nt
Filed under: Limosilactobacillus fermentum
Lineage: Bacteria; Bacillati; Bacillota; Bacilli; Lactobacillales; Lactobacillaceae
Also listed under: 13 other names
Description: Lactobacillus fermentum tRNA
Rfam family: tRNA
About the family: Transfer RNA (tRNA) molecules are approximately 80 nucleotides in length. Their secondary structure includes four short double-helical elements and three loops (D, anti-codon, and T loops).
Source: Rfam by way of RNAcentral